CUGACUCAGCAAUUCCAGUGACCGCCGUCACUGGUGGUUCCCGACUGCCCUGAAGGUGCGGUCGCCGAGCGUUACGGGUCGGCAACGCUGGAGCCGCCGGCGUCCGGGGCCCUCUCUAAACAGGCUGCGUUCCUGCCCACGCCGUGACUCAGCCGCUUCCGCUCCAAGGGCCGCGGAGCUCCGGCCGCCGCCCGCGAGGCCCUGCCGCCUUCCCACCGGCCCAGGCCGGCCGCCCCGCGCCUGCUUCCGCGCUUGUAUGUAGGUCGUCCCCUCCAUGGCUACUACAACCAUCUUGGAGUCAGCUGUGAACAUCUCUCUGCAGGGUCACCUAAGCAGCUUCUAACUGGUUUUGCCGCAUUCCCAUCCAACCCUCCCACAAUGACCAGGUGUUGGCGCUCUGUCAUCUGCUGGGGAUAAAAUGAUGAAGAAAAAGACAAGGCUCAGCUAGGCACGGUGGCGUGCCCAGAAGUUCAAAUCCAGUGUGGACAACAGAGGAGGACCCCAUCUCUUUGACAACAACAGUAAAGACAAGGCCCAUGCCUUAAAGUUUACAUUUUAGAGGUGGAGGCAGAAAAUAAACUAGUAAACAAAUAAUUCA
Long non-coding RNA from Lemur catta (Ring-tailed lemur), 598 nucleotides. RefSeq lists it as uncharacterized. The record is from RefSeq and is a predicted model, not a curated record. NCBI's taxonomy places the organism in Eukaryota, Metazoa, Chordata, Mammalia, Primates, Lemuridae. The transcript is spliced from 3 exons.